GGGGAAUAUUGGACAAUGGGGGAAACCCUGAUCCAGCAAUGCCGCGUGAGUGAAGUAGGCCUUAGGGUUGUAAAGCUCUUUCGCCCGCGAAGAUAAUGACGGUAGCGGGAGAAGAAGCCCCGGCUAACUCCGUGCCAGCAGCCGCGGUAAUACGGAGGGGGCUAGCGUUGUUCGGAAUUACUGGGCGUAAAGCGUACGUAGGCGGAUGCGCAAGUUGGGGGUGAAAUCCCGGGGCUUAACCUCGGAAUUGCCCUCAAAACUGCACGUCUUGAGACCGAGAGAGGUAAGGGGAAUUCCUAGUGUAGAGGUGAAAUUCGUAGAUAUUAGGAAGAACACCAGUGGCGAAGGCGCCUUACUGGCUCGGUACUGACGCUGAGGUACGAAAGCGUGGGGAGCAAACA
RNAcentral lists this ribosomal RNA (401 nucleotides) under uncultured bacterium. RNAcentral describes it as "bacterial SSU rRNA". It matches the Rfam family "Bacterial small subunit ribosomal RNA", at positions 356 to 774 of the family's 1533-position model. The record is from RNAcentral.